GGUAUUUUAUUCUUAUUAUCAAAAUUUAUGGAUCCUCCAAUUACAUAUAAGUAUUCUUAAAAAAGAGAAGUUUAAUUUAUUCUCUAGUCACCCCAACUAAAUAUAUUUUUGUUAAAACUUUAUAAAUUUACUUCUUUAAUUUUAAUUAAAUAUAUAAAAAUCUAUAGGGUCUUCUCGUCUUUUUAGUUACAAUUUUUGCCUUUUAACAAAAAAGUUAAAUUAAUUUAAUAUGAUAGAGACAGCUUUGAUUACGUUCAAUCUUUCAUUCCAGUCUCCAAUUAAAAGACUAUUGAUUAUGCUACCUUUGCACAGUCAAAAUACUGCGGCUCUUUAAAUCGUCAGUGUGCAGAUUAUACCUUUUAUUAAAAAUAUAAUAAAAACAAAAGGAA
RNAcentral lists this ribosomal RNA (389 nucleotides) under Nesogaster lewisi. Its description in RNAcentral is "partial 16S ribosomal RNA". Lineage: Eukaryota; Metazoa; Arthropoda; Insecta; Dermaptera; Spongiphoridae. The record is from RNAcentral.